CAUGCAAGUCGAACGAAGUUAGGAAGCUUGCUUCUGAUACUUAGUGGCGGACGGGUGAGUAAUGCUUAGGAAUCUGCCUAGUAGUGGGGGAUAACUUGGGGAAACCCAAGCUAAUACCGCAUACGACCUACGGGUGAAAGGGGGCUUUUAGCUCUCGCUAUUAGAUGAGCCUAAGUCGGAUUAGCUGGUUGGUGGGGUAAAGGCCUACCAAGGCGACGAUCUGUAGCUGGUCUGAGAGGAUGAUCAGCCACACUGGGACUGAGACACGGCCCAGACUCCUACGGGAGGCAGCAGUGGGGAAUAUUGGACAAUGGGCGAAAGCCUGAUCCAGCCAUGCCGCGUGUGUGAAGAAGGCCUUUUGGUUGUAAAGCACUUUAAGUGGGGAGGAAAAGCUUAUGGUUAAUACCCAUAAGCCCUGACGUUACCCACAGAAUAAGCACCGGCUAA
Molecule: ribosomal RNA, 447 nt
Filed under: Moraxella catarrhalis
Lineage: Bacteria; Pseudomonadati; Pseudomonadota; Gammaproteobacteria; Moraxellales; Moraxellaceae
Description: bacterial SSU rRNA
Rfam family: Bacterial small subunit ribosomal RNA
Source: RNAcentral